Molecule: ribosomal RNA, 377 nt
Filed under: uncultured bacterium
Lineage: Bacteria
Description: bacterial SSU rRNA
Rfam family: Bacterial small subunit ribosomal RNA
Source: RNAcentral
UAAUACGGAGGGGGCAAGCGUUGUUCGGAAUUACUGGGCGUAAAGGGCACGUAGGCGGCCUGAUUAGUCAGGCGUGAAAUCCCAUGGCUCAACCAUGGAAUUGCGUUUGAUACUGUCAGGCUUGAGUAUGGGAGAGGAGAGUGGAAUUCCUAGUGUAGCGGUGAAAUGCGCAGAUAUUAGGAGGAACACCAGUGGCGAAGGCGACUCUCUGGCCCGAUACUGACGCUGAGGUGCGAAAGCGUGGGGAGCGAACGGGAUUAGAUACCCCGGUAGUCCACGCUGUAAACGAUGGGUACUAGGUGUAGGGGAGUAUGAAAUCUUCUGUGCCGAAGCUAACGCAUUAAGUACCCCGCCUGGGGAGUACGAUCGCAAGAUUG